Molecule: ribosomal RNA, 233 nt
Filed under: uncultured bacterium
Lineage: Bacteria
Description: partial 16S ribosomal RNA
Rfam family: Bacterial small subunit ribosomal RNA
Source: RNAcentral
UGAGCAAUCUGCCCUUCUCAUCGGAAUAAGCGUUGGAAACGACGUCUAAUGCCGAAUACGACCUCCUUUCGCAUGAUCGGAGGNGGAAAAGCUCCGGCGGAGAAGGAUGAGCUCGCGGCCUAUCAGCUAGUUGGUGUGGGUAAUGGCCCACCAAGGCGACGACGGGUAGCCGGCCUGAGAGGGUGACCGGCCACACUGGGACUGAGACACGGCCCAGACUCCUACGGGAGCAG